CAGCAGCCCGGCUUGAACGGAGCUCUUUUGCUGUUAUUGCGAUUCUUGAAACGGCAUAAUAACGGUUUCGGUUCGUUUGCAAUGACAGAAAAAAGCGGGAGUGGAAGACGGAAAUAGC
Molecule: unclassified non-coding RNA, 118 nt
Filed under: Epilithonimonas mollis
Lineage: Bacteria; Pseudomonadati; Bacteroidota; Flavobacteriia; Flavobacteriales; Weeksellaceae
Description: Chryseobacterium molle Flavo-1 RNA
Source: RNAcentral